GACAGACAUCCGGAUUUCAACUCUACUCGUCACCCUGAUCACUUUGGUAUAUAUAACCCUAUAUCUGACUCUUUUAGUUUUAGGACUUACAAACAACCGUUAUGUGAACAAAACUAUAAUACUCUCCUUAGCAACAUUGUUGCGAGAACAUAAAAAUAAUCGUUUUGUGAGCGUUCAAGUCUGUGACCUUUACAAAAUAAGAAUAUAUUCUAAAUAUAACAAUAAUAAUAACUUAUCCUGUGCAAAUAUGCUGGACUAAAUCUUUUAAUUUCAUCUUUAACAAAAGGUAUAUUCAGAACUGAAUAAAGAAUGGCUUUAUUUGUUAUGAACCAAGGCGCGUUUGUAAUUAAUCUUAGACUUUUCGAUUGGUAUCUUUGUAGAAUUUCAAUAUUUGUAUUACAAGCAGUGCCCCAAAGUUGAACACCGUAUGUCCAUAUAGGUUUUAGUAUAGGUUUAUGUAUAUAAUAGUAAUUUAUUUUCAAGAUAUAACUGCGAUGUAUGCCCAAGUAGCCAAUAUCGUUGUUUGGUUUUUA
Bactrocera neohumeralis is the source of this 533-nucleotide long non-coding RNA. RefSeq lists it as uncharacterized. Lineage: Eukaryota; Metazoa; Arthropoda; Insecta; Diptera; Tephritidae. The record is from RefSeq and is a predicted model, not a curated record. The transcript is spliced from 2 exons.